UUGCAUUUUCCUGAACCCCAUCCUAGAAUAUUUCUCCAUGAUGGAUCCACCUAGUGUAGGUGCUUGCCAUCCUACUCCUAAGUGCAUACGCACCUCUUGUACAGGACAUCUAGACUGAUUCAGGCAUCCACGACAUGGGCAUUGUUGACGGUCGUUAAGUACAAAAUAUGACCAUCAAUAUACUCAAAGAAUAAAGGAGGAUUGGUAUUUCUUACGCAUAUUUGGUUUUGAAUAAUGUAGUUCCACUUGUCCUUGAAGAUUA
Molecule: long non-coding RNA, 262 nt
Filed under: Setaria viridis
Lineage: Eukaryota; Viridiplantae; Streptophyta; Magnoliopsida; Poales; Poaceae
Description: long non-coding RNA (SVIR_LNC006822)
Source: RNAcentral